Zootermopsis nevadensis is the source of this 1979-nucleotide non-coding RNA. NCBI's taxonomy places the organism in Eukaryota, Metazoa, Arthropoda, Insecta, Blattodea, Termopsidae. The record is from RefSeq and is a predicted model, not a curated record.
GUGAUCACUGACGGCGCGUGUCGAGACUCGUUUGUGAGCAGGUAGGAUCGCUGAGAACAAGGCGCUUCUAAUAUUAUGGCCCUGAGAACACAACUGUGUGGGAGAAGACAUUGAAAAAGAAGAAGCAAACGAAGAAGAAAAAGGAGAAGAAAGAAACCAACAGAGGAAGAAGGAGAAGAAAAAAUAUGCAGUAGGAGAUGUAUGAUAACGAAAAGAAAUUUCAGUAUAUGAGAGGUGGGAAAGCAACUGUUUUGGACGUGGGAACUAUUCGAGCGCCACUACUGAGACUUUAUCACCUUACGCCUAACCCGCAGCGAGACAUUUCACAGGAGUUAAAUCUCUCGAGAAGUUGGUCCAAAUCUAGGUAAGUGAAUGACAGAGACCGAUUAAAUAACGGAGCGAGUGACGGACUUGAUGAGACAGAGAAUGUGGGUGAUUGGUAGAGCGACAGUGUAUGGGGGGAGUGACUCAGUGCGUGACUGAAUAUGGACUACAGUGACAGUGCCACUGAGAGUGCGUGAGAAAGCGACUCUAUGAGAGUGGCUUUAAAAGUAAGGACAUACUAGGUUCACUAUCUCUGCCUGGCUCUUUCUCAGUGAUGAGUACUUAAAAUCGAAAGUUCCUUGACUCACUCUAGUCAGCACAGGAAGAUAUAUCCAGCCAUCUCCUGCAACCGUUAAGUUAGCAAGAUGCUCUACUUUCUCAAACAUAAUCAACAUAUUUUCCUCUGCAUAACAAACAGGAGGGAAUGAAGAUGGAGGCAGUAUGUUCCUCUGAAACGUCGGUAAACUUCUACCAGACUACACGGCGCAACAACGCAGAAGACAGCCACUUUAUUUCUGCCAACUUUUCGGAACGUUAUCCCUGGACGCAACGCCGGCCCGUCGCAAGGCCUCUAGCUGUACCACCCAGCGACAACUAAUUUCGGGCAUUUUACCUUUGCUACAAGGCUAAUCGAAAUGCUCGAUUCGAUAAAAUCAUCGCCCGAGAAGAUUUUAUCGCAUUCAGUCGCCGCGAAAUCUUCAAGUCAUAUCAAUAUGAAUUCUACACGGACAUUUACAUCUCCAAGGGAUACCAACUUCGAAGGAGAAGAGGCUGGCGGUUAUGUCGACUGUAGGAUAUUUACUCUCGACAGAUAUGUCGGAGUUGAGGGGUCAAACAGUCUGUUCCAAACCAACACAAAAACCUGAAAGCAACAGUCUCAAGCAUCAAACUAGUUCGCAGCUGACCGGUAUCUCUCAAACUGAAAAUUUACUACUCACAAGCGACAGUGGUAAAAUAAGCUGUGAGGUAUGAACAUCUGAUGGCAGAGACAAAAUAAAAACAGUAGCAGCAGAAAUGCGAUCAUUAAAAUUUCUUCCGGGUAUAAACGAUUAUAUAAAGAAAAUAAAUUCUGAUAAACUUAAGGCUGAAGAUAUUAUGCCUAUUAUACACUUACAGGAGGAUGUGAAAUCAACUUUUCAUCAUUUAUGUUGGUCACACCUGGAUUUUGAAGUGUAUGUGACUUGUACAAUUGUUCUUUAAUACGCUCACAAAUGCCAAACAAAUGUGUCUGCAAAUUCCUUAGAUAAAAAUUAGAUAAGAAACUGAAAAAUGUGUGUACCCAAACAUUCUACAUUACAUUAGACUAAAAGUGGAAGUUUUUACCGGCGAUACAAUGGUGAUAUUAAUAAGACUGUACUUAGGUCCCUUCAUCCAGACAAAAAAGCAACAUUAUUAAAUUUUGAUAAUUUCAUUUUAUGAAGAAAUUAACAACUGGACCACGCUGCUUUCGGCUACCAUGUUUAAACUGCACUAAUGCUGUUAUCCGGUAGUGUACUUGCGACCAAUGCUACUGCUAAAGCUAUAAUCAAAAAAGACGGCGUGUUGCUUCAUGAUGGUUUAUGGCGUAUAGAGACAGAGCUAUGAGGCUAUGAUGCUAUGAGUUUGCGAGAUUAUUUCCCUCGAAAUUGUCUCAUUUAUAGUAGACUUUAGAGAAC